AGCUUGCUCUUAUGAAGYUAGCGGCGGACGGGUGAGUAACACGUUGGGUAACCUGCCCAUAAGACUGGGAUAACUCCGGGAAACCGGGGCUAAUACCGGAUAACAUUUUGAACYGCAUGGUUCGAAAUUGAAAGGCGGCUUCGGCUGUCACUUAUGGAUGGACCCGCGUCGCAUUAGCUAGUUGGUGAGGUAACGGCUCACCAAGGCAACGAUGCGUAGCCGACCUGAGAGGGUGAUCGGCCACACUGGGACUGAGACACGGCCCAGACUCCUACGGGAGGCAGCAGUAGGGAAUCUUCCGCAAUGGACGAAAGUCUGACGGAGCAACGCCGCGUGAGUGAUGAAGGCUUUCGGGUCGUAAAACUCUGUUGUUAGGGAAGAACAAGUGCUAGUUGAAUAAGCUGGCACCUUGACGGU
Molecule: ribosomal RNA, 417 nt
Filed under: Bacillus thuringiensis
Lineage: Bacteria; Bacillati; Bacillota; Bacilli; Caryophanales; Bacillaceae
Description: bacterial SSU rRNA
Rfam family: Bacterial small subunit ribosomal RNA
Source: RNAcentral